UCUGGGACUUUCUAAUCAUUUGCAUUUAAAUUUCACGAUGAAAUCCGCGUCUUCAAACAGGCAUUGUGAAACAGGGACAAAGAGAAAUAAGCAUAAAUGAAAUUUCCAGCUGACCUUUUCUCAGGCUUGGGAGGGUCUUGGGAGCCAGGUUUUCAUGCAGGAGAAGGUACAAUCCAGACUAAAAUGGAGCAAGUUCUACCUGGGGAUUUUGUUAGAACCUUCCUAUUAAGAUACCCUUCUGGGCAGCGGACUUGGCCUAGUGGUUAGGGCAUCUG
Molecule: long non-coding RNA, 275 nt
Filed under: Dasypus novemcinctus (nine-banded armadillo)
Lineage: Eukaryota; Metazoa; Chordata; Mammalia; Cingulata; Dasypodidae
Description: lncRNA (ENSDNOG00000050917.1)
Source: RNAcentral